AGCCAAAUACCAGGGUCUCCCCCUUCUUGGAGUUUAUGGGCCAAGAUGUGUGAGCAGGUUGUGCUGCGGGUAGACUCGCAGUCAGCCAGCCAGCCCACAGUGACAGCGACCAGGCGUCUAGAAGCCCCACUGGGUUGUGAAAUGAACAAGGCCCUCUGUGCCCCUGAUCAGGCCUGUGUGAGCCCCCGGGCUCCAGGAGCGAGCAUCUCCUAGCUCCUAAAGAGCUGACAUAUAUCCUGCCUUUAAGACAAGACUACAAUUGCAAAUCCGAGAAUAUAAAUUACUCUUUCAUCUUU
RNAcentral lists this long non-coding RNA (296 nucleotides) under Lynx pardinus (Iberian lynx). Lineage: Eukaryota; Metazoa; Chordata; Mammalia; Carnivora; Felidae. The record is from RNAcentral.